UGGUGAGAUGAUGGCAAUGAUCUUUUAGGACUGACCUGAAAUGAAGAGAAAACUAAAACAGCUUAAGAAAAGCAAAUAUAUAUAUAUUUUUCUUUU
Otolemur garnettii (small-eared galago) is the source of this 96-nucleotide non-coding RNA. NCBI's taxonomy places the organism in Eukaryota, Metazoa, Chordata, Mammalia, Primates, Galagidae. The record is from Rfam.